UAAUACUAAAUAGACGUAAUACAGUUAUUGUUAUGGAAAAGACCAAACUUGAAUAUAUUAGGCUCAUGUGUCAAAUGAAAAUGACUGGAGCAAUUUGUAAGCAGUAAGUAAAUUUUCCAAAAUUAUGUAGAAAGAUAUUGUUUGCUUUAACUAUUUGUUUAAUUACGUUUUCACGGUCUACGUUAUUUUUAUAUUUUAAAUCUUUCUAACUACAGAUCUAUUCUUGGAAGGAUUUUAUGAUAUUAUGCUUAAACGACCAAUUUUCAUAUUUAAUGAACAAGAACUUGAACUAUUGAUCAGUGGCUUGCCUACUGUAAAGAUCUUAAAGGAGGAUCUUAAAGCAAAUAUUGACUAUCAUAAAUACACUGCUACGUUUUGAUAUUUUGUAUUAGCUCAAGUUUGAAAGACUUGAAUUAUACCAUCUUUUUUCCACUCACUGAUUCAAUGGUUCUGGUGCAUUGCGAGGUUUUAAUCAAGCGGAUUGUUCGAAGAUCUUACAAUUCAUCACUGAUACAUCUAAAAUGCCGUUACAAGGUUUUGCUGCGUUAGAAGGCAUGAAUGGCAUACAAAAGUUCCAAAUUCACAGAGAAGACAAGUUGACAGACAGGCUUUCAUUUGCACAUAUUUGUUUCAAUCAACUGGAUUUGCCAGUGUACGAGACGUAUGAUAAACUCUGAACAAAUCUACUCAAGGCGACUUACGAAUGCACCAAAGAAUUUGGAUUUGCAUAAGCUUACCAGAAUUUGCUCCUGUACAAUUUCGAUUUCAUGCGUUCAAUCGAUGAUAUUCUGGAGACCAAACUUAUGGUUGGAUCUUUACAGCCAGUGAUAACAUUCCGGACGUGCAAUGGUCUAUUGCUUGCAAAAUUUUUAACGUACUUACAAAAAUUGUUAUACGCAAUGCUAUAUGUAAAAUUAUCUUGUGAACGUAGCGAAUCACAGUGCUCUAAUUGCUAUAAUAUGUAUUAUUACACUUAUACGACUUUAUAAAUACAAAAUAUAUAUUUUCGUUUUAUCAUACACAUUAACUCUCAUGUAAUUAAUGGACAAUAAUUUAUUCGUUAAUAUAUACGCUGAUAAAUACGCUGA
This is a long non-coding RNA of Solenopsis invicta (red fire ant), 1088 nucleotides long. RefSeq lists it as uncharacterized. Lineage: Eukaryota; Metazoa; Arthropoda; Insecta; Hymenoptera; Formicidae. The record is from RefSeq and is a predicted model, not a curated record. The transcript has 2 exons.